This 468-nucleotide ribosomal RNA is filed under the name uncultured bacterium. RNAcentral's name for it is "partial 16S ribosomal RNA". It matches the Rfam family "Bacterial small subunit ribosomal RNA", at positions 28 to 507 of the family's 1533-position model. The record is from RNAcentral.
GACGAACGCUGGCGGCGUGCUUAACACAUGCAAGUCGAACGGAAAGGCCCUGCUUUUGUGGGGUGCUCGAGUGGCGAAGGGGUGAGUAACGUGUGACUAACCUGCCCUUGACUUUGGUAUAACUUCAGGAAACUGGGGCUAAUCCCGGAUAGGAGCUCCUGCUGCUGGGUGGGGGUUGGAAAGUUUCGGCGGUUGGUGAUGGACUCGCGGCUUUUCAGCUUGUUGGUGGGGUAGUGGCUUACCAAGGCUUUGACGGGUAGCCGGCCUGAGAGGGUGACCGGCCACAUUGGGACUGAGAUACGGCCCAGACUCCUACGGGAGUCAGCAGUGGGGAAUAGUGCACAAUGGGCGGAAGCCUGAUGCAGCAACGCCGCGUGCGGGAUGACGGCCUUCGGGUUGUAAACCGCUUUCGCCUGUGACGAAGCGUGAGUGACGGUAAUGGGUAAAGAAGCACCGGCUAACUACGUG